This 403-nucleotide ribosomal RNA is filed under the name uncultured bacterium. RNAcentral describes it as "partial 16S ribosomal RNA". It matches the Rfam family "Bacterial small subunit ribosomal RNA", at positions 30 to 526 of the family's 1533-position model. The record is from RNAcentral.
AUUGAACGCUGGCGGCAGGCCUAACACAUGCAAGUCGAGCGAGCGGCGGACGGGUGAGUAAUGUAUGGGGACUGCCCGAUAGAGGGGGAUAACUACUGGAAACGGUGGCUAAUACCGCAUACUAUCGGAUAACCCAUAUGGGAUUAGCGAGUAGGUAAGGUAAUGGCUUACCUAGGCGACGAUCCCUAGCUGGUCUGAGAGGAUGAUAGGCCACACUGGGACUGAUACACGGCCCAGACGCCUACGGAGGCAGCAGUGGGGAAUAUUGCACAAGGGGCGCAAGCCUGAUGCAGCCAUGCCGCGUGUAUGAAGAAGGCCCUAGGGUUGUAAAGUACUUUCAGUCGGGAGGCGUUACCGACAGAAGAAGCACCGGCUAACUCCGUGCCAGCCGCCGCGGUAAUAC